Molecule: long non-coding RNA, 959 nt
Organism: Oxyura jamaicensis (ruddy duck)
Lineage: Eukaryota; Metazoa; Chordata; Aves; Anseriformes; Anatidae
Exons: 3
Source: RefSeq, a predicted model, not a curated record
UUUCAGAAAGUUUUAAAACUUUCCUUUACUUUCAAACUCCAUUUUUUUUUAAUCAGAUUUCUAGUUAAGGGCAAGCAUCAGCUAUGGGGGCAGAGCAAAAAAAGACCAGAUUGAAAUGAAUGACUGAAUGCUAGAUUUACAAUAGAACACUUACAAAAACCCACAAAGGAAAUCCAUUUAUUUAGUAGCAAAGUUGAUCAAUUGGAAAUUACUAAAUGUGGUAUUCAAAACUGCCUGUCCAACAUGAAUUGAAACCCCAUUUUUAUAUGCAUUACAUUCACUUAUUUUUUUUUCCCUCUGGAUUUUUGCUUCACUCAUGAACAAAAUUAUUAAAAAUAGAUUUACACUAGAAAAAUUAUUUUGGUGCUCAAUCCUGCCUGCAUUCUACCAGAAAAAUCUCUACUGUGGUUUUAGAGAAAGGAAAUGUAAAAUAAUUUAAAUGGAAUCUUAAAAAGCAUUAACCUAUUUUCAGGUAGAACUUGCAUUUGAACAUCAAGGUGCUUUACAAAACAAAUAUGCUUUACAAAACUAACACCAUUUUGUAGACUAUUAGCAAUGAUGUGUUGUUUUGUUUUUUGUACUUCAUUAUUACCAGUGCUCAAGCUGCUUCAGCGGGAAGCCUCAAAAUGUGCGAUUGCCCCCAGACUCCCCCUACUCCAAACCUGUAGGCCUGUUAUGCACAGACUUCAGCUGAGGGCAAUGAGGUUUUUGUCUUUAUGAAGACUGCAGAACCUGCUCACAUGUCCUGUCUCUGGUUCCUGGAUUACCACUGCAACUUUUGCAUCUGAAGCUUAGCCUGAGUGCCAGAAAGACUGCUCAGAGGCAGCAAAAGGAUAGCUAUGAAGGUGGAGACCUCUCAGGGCCUUGGUGAUGAAGAGAAGCUUAUGACCAUGCUUUUGACUGCUCAGACUCCACUCCUGGCAGCCAGUCCCACUGUAAGCAUGUUGCCUUUUCAGGUU